GAUGGAACCAGCAUUCACAAAUUUGGCGUCGAAUAGGAAUGACAUGUCACAUUAUGCCAUGAUUGUGGAGCAAAUUGAGGCUUGAUUGCUUGCUGUAAAUUGUUUUCUAUGCUUAUUGUUUAUCUCUAUAGUCCUAAACAGGGGAGAGGGUUCAGCAGAGGCAGCGUUUACUCCAAAGUACUGAGAUGGAUUUGUAGGUGAAAAACUAAAUGAUUGAAAACAGUUUUCAGACAUUUUUCUGAAAUGUUGAUGUUUCUGGGACAACUUCACCUGCUUCUAAAGUCAGUGGAGAGGAACAGAAAAAGUCAUCAGCUGUUCAUCUACACCUGUGAGGCUGAGUGAACCUGUGCAUGCUGGUACGCCUGCGAGUAUAAAAAUCUGGCAUUUAGCCGAGUCCUCGCCGCUCACUGUGCUUCCUGUCCCCGGCCAUCGCCUCAGAAAUAGUCGUCCGUGUCUCUUGGCACCACAGCGUGAAUUGGCCGAAAUAAUACAACAGUUAAGUUGCCAGAUAUGAUCAAAACGGGGAUCAUGAAACCCUGACACCGUGUCACCAGGAAGGGACCAGAACCUGCAUCUGACAUCCGCAGUUACAUCAGGCUGUCCUGGUGCGGCUCCUCAGCAGCUUUCCCUGUCGGAUGAUUCAGGAGUGCGGCGUUGAUGCCGAGAAACGCUGCGACAGAUUCCCUCUGCUCUAAUUUCUGGGACGAUGAAAGGCUUGGCAGCUCUCCCUGCUGGAUUCCCGGUUCAUCUAAACUUCAUCGCAUUAAACUGUGUUUGCAGGAAUUUUAGAAUAACUAAGACAUUGUUCAGCUGCAGAUGAGCCGACAUAGAUUAAAUGAUGAGUCGGUAAAGCAAAGCGAUGAAUAACACAGCUGAACUCAAACAUGUUUUUAUUACACAAGGCAGAAAAACUAUUAAAAACUUACUCAGACUUUCAAACCAUUGAUAUACCGUUAAAUUACACUUAUUAUAAUUUGACAAAUUUCAGUCCACAAGUUUCUUGCGAACCACUUUGUGGUAGCAGAUAUAUAAUUUUAUACCCAUCAUACUGUGCCAACUAAAAAUAUUUUAGAGGAUCCAAUUAAAUUAGGAUUUUUUUGUGCCAAAAGGUCCAAGGAAAACAUUUUUUACUCUAAUUAAUGAACCAGUGUUGUGUCUAAGCAACCAGGUCUCACACCAUCUAUUUUUUUUAACUACCCCCUUAUUACACGGCAGAAUCAGAACUGAUUUGUAUUUAUGUUUUUGAGUUUUAAGGAUUAAAAAAAAAACAUUACAACU
Long non-coding RNA from Poecilia latipinna (sailfin molly), 1278 nucleotides. RefSeq lists it as uncharacterized. Lineage: Eukaryota; Metazoa; Chordata; Actinopteri; Cyprinodontiformes; Poeciliidae. The transcript is spliced from 3 exons. The record is from RefSeq and is a predicted model, not a curated record.